RNAcentral lists this unclassified non-coding RNA (928 nucleotides) under Hevea brasiliensis (rubber tree). The record is from RNAcentral. Lineage: Eukaryota; Viridiplantae; Streptophyta; Magnoliopsida; Malpighiales; Euphorbiaceae.
GCUUUGUACAACCCUUGGCUCCGCAACCAUAUUUCCAGCCAUACUUCUCAUCCCUAAUUUUACGGACAUAGGGAUCUAAGGCUUCGGCGGCAACAGCAUCAAGUUUUUCCUUUGCAGCCAUUACCUCCAAGGGAUCCUUCCCCUUCAGCCUGUCUUGCCAAUGAGAAUCCACUUUUGAUUCCCACUCUGCUCCAUUGCUUGUUGCAUCAGCAGCCUUGCCGUCCACUCUCACAUGCCGGAGACCCUUGGCUUCAUUUGUCUCUGCCAGGCCAUAAUAAUCCACCCCAUGAAUGCGCCACAGAUAGGUUAGAAGUGUAUCAAGUAACUCAGUUCCCUCGAGACCUUUCACUGAAGUUAAGCCCCUUAUGAUAAUAACUGGGCCUGUGGAACCAUGAGACUUGUCUCUGCUUCCCCUAUCAUUAUCAGACCGAGAUAGUAUGUUAUCCUCUAUUCCCUUCUCCGAGUCAAGCUUCCUCACAAGUGCCUGUGCUUGUUCAACAUCAAUCUGGACUCUUCUGGGAUCAGAACUCACUAGGUGAGCCUUUGGAGCAGCUAAAAGUAAGUCAGGGUCUUUAUUGUGUCCCCUCCCAUGCCUCCUCCUUUUGCCAUUUUCAUCUGCUUCUUCAUCAGAAUUUGGCUCACUUGACUGUCCUGAUUUGUUUGUAGGAGGAGGUGCAACACCAGGACCUAUGUCUAGAGUUCCACUCUGCAAAUCAAGUAAGAAAUCCUUUGCCGAUUUCCUUGCAAGCUCAUUCCUCCUUUCAAUAACAGAAAUUAAGUUUGAUGGAUGGUAUUUGUCUUUCAACCAUUCUUCAUCUUUAUGAGCGUUAAAAUAAGCUCUUUUUUGUGCUUCUAUGUACCCAGCCUUGUAUUCUUGGUACCUGCGCUCAGCUUCAGCUGGCAAGAUAUCAUCUUCAAGCUCCUGAAU